This 117-nucleotide non-coding RNA is filed under the name Camelus dromedarius (Arabian camel). RNAcentral describes it as "Eukaryotic small subunit ribosomal RNA". It matches the Rfam family "Eukaryotic small subunit ribosomal RNA", at positions 478 to 594 of the family's 1831-position model. RNAcentral also lists the same sequence under 1 other name. The record is from Rfam by way of RNAcentral. Lineage: Eukaryota; Metazoa; Chordata; Mammalia; Artiodactyla; Camelidae.
UUUUUUUUUUGACUCUUUCAAGGCCCUGUAAUUGGAAUGAGUCCACUUUAAAUCCUUUUGCGAGGAUCCACUGGGGGGCAAAUCUGGUGCCAGCAGCCGCGGAAAUUCCGGCUCCAG